GCCUUGGUGAUUCUUCAGGGUUGGUGGUGACUGGGGAGCCACACCAGGGUGGCAAACCUAGGAUAAAAAGCCGACGGGAAAGAGUGGUUCGGUGCCACUGGGUCCCUGGAAGCCUUAAGUGAUGUGGGCAUAACUGAGAGGAGCCACAGAGAGUUCGGUGCCCAAACAUAUAACCCCAAAGACACAGCUGGCAACUUUGAGACCCUUGAGUGUGGGCAGCCACAUUGAGUUACCCGUCUUCCAGUCCUGAGGCACCUCGGAGACCUGAAAGAUGACUGCAGUCUGGCACCUCCAGACUCUUUUCUGCUCGGACAGCAAGGCCAAGUCUUCUGAGCAGGCAGACCCUGGGAUGUCAGUCAACCUGCUGACAGCAGACAUCAAGAAGC
Long non-coding RNA from Marmota flaviventris (yellow-bellied marmot), 386 nucleotides. RefSeq lists it as uncharacterized. NCBI's taxonomy places the organism in Eukaryota, Metazoa, Chordata, Mammalia, Rodentia, Sciuridae. The record is from RefSeq and is a predicted model, not a curated record.